Molecule: ribosomal RNA, 219 nt
Filed under: Bacillus sp. JB56
Lineage: Bacteria; Bacillati; Bacillota; Bacilli; Caryophanales; Bacillaceae
Description: partial 16S ribosomal RNA
Rfam family: Bacterial small subunit ribosomal RNA
Source: RNAcentral
AUCGGAUUAUUGGGCGUAAGCGCGCGCAGGUGGUUUCUUAAGUCUGAUGUGAAAGCCCACGGCUCAACCGUGGAGGGUCAUUGGAAACUGGGAGACUUGAGUGCACAAGAGGAAAGUGGAAUUCCAUGUGUAGCGGUGAAAUGCGUAGAGAUAUGGAGGAACACCAGUGGCCAAGGCGACUUUCUGGUCUGUAACUGACACUGAUGCGCGGGGUCGUGG